Alligator mississippiensis (American alligator) is the source of this 2363-nucleotide long non-coding RNA. RefSeq lists it as uncharacterized. The record is from RefSeq and is a predicted model, not a curated record. Lineage: Eukaryota; Metazoa; Chordata; Crocodylia; Alligatoridae. The transcript has 3 exons.
CAGCUGCUGCUGGCAGUGUCAGCAGUGCCUUUUUGUAGGGGGUGCACCACCACACUUAGGGGGUGCACAUGCACCCGUGUGAACCCCCUACACGUUGACCCUGGUUCGUGGCAGGGAAAGUGUGUUUGUGUGUCCAUGUGCAGAGCAUGGACGCAGGCGCAGGGGGCUAUUAGCAGUUCUUAAGGAACCCACAUUGAGCCCAACAGGAGCUGAGGCUCAUUGUGAAGCUCUGAGGGCCUGUUUGCUGCCCACGAGGCAGGUGGCCCUGGAAAAUUUGAGGGAGAUCCAACAGAAACCAAAGAGGCAUCAUGACAGAACGGCUGAGGAGAGAGCUGCCAGUCAACAACAGGGUGUCAGUCCUAUUACCCACCAUGGCCGGUAACCUGCUGACAAAGUGGCAAGGCCCUUGGAAAUAAGAAGGCACGCCGGGCUGGUGGAUGACGAGCUAUUCCAACCGGGCAUCAAUGGGAGCAACAGAUUUUCCAUGUAAACUUGUUAAAAGCUGGAAGAAGGCCGAGCGGUGGUUGGCUGAGGCUGAACUAGAAAGUGCAGAACUUGGCCCUGAAAUAAGCGGGGAUGUUAGGGAGACACCAGGGGAGGAAAGAGUACAAAUUGAAGAGCGCCUGGCAGCUAGUCAGGGAGGAGACUUGGUUCAGGUUAUUUGCGCCUUCCGCGAUGUCUUUCGAGAGGAACGUGGGUGGGUCGCACACCCUGCCUAGAAGAGUGGUGUGAGAGUGAUGGCGCCCUGACCCCAACCAUUUAUAUGGCCCCAUGAAGCAGGAGCUCUGAAAGAUGCUUGGACGAGGGGUAACAGUCCCCUCACGGGGUCUGUGGCAAAGCCUGAUGGGACCUUACGUCUCAGUGUAGAUUUCAAAUGCUGGAGCUGCUUUCGAUGCCUUCCCCAUGCCCCAGCUUUUAGAAAGAAUAGAACAGGCCCGCUACAUAACGAUGCUUGACCUGUCUCAAGAGUACUGGCAAAUACCCAUGGCCACAAAAGACGAUGCCAAAGCUGCUUUUGGGACCCCAUGGGGCCUAUAUGAAUUUUGUAGAAUGCCCUUCAGCCUGCACGGGGCGGCAGCCCCCUUCCAAAGACUGAUGAACCGAGCUUUGGCCUUACAUGGUGCCCCACACACCAGACGCUGCCAACAGGCGCCGUGCGUGAGUGCAGGGACAGCGAGAGCCCGAGCCGCCUUCUAGCUGAGAUCUCUCCUGGGGAGACGUGGCUGCUGCACUGGAGCCCGUGGCAGUAGAUCUGCAGGGAGGAGCUGAGGGUGCAGAAGUCCCUCGUGUCGUGCAGAGCGGGACGGGGGGCAGGAGUCCCUACAGCGGUCGGCAUCACAGCCAGUAAAACAGCAGCUGCAGACGGAGCCAGUCCAGCACCGGGAGCUUUGGGGGCAGGACACAAUGCAGGCCAUGCAACCCCCUUGUGAGACCGAGCUGCCCUCUGCGACCCCACAGCUGGCACUGUGGGAUGAGCUCCCCACCCCAGAGGCCUGGCACCAGCUCUCCCGUGGCCUCUGCUACUGGGAAGCCGAGGGCCCAAGGAAGAUUUGUCGCCGCCUGUGGGAGCUCUGCCAGCGCUGGCUGGAGCCCCAGCACUGCAGCAAGGAGCAGAUCCUGGAGCUGGUGGUGCUGGAGCAAGUCCUGGCCAUCCUGCCCCAAGACAUGCAGAGCUGGGGGUGCGGGUGCCAAGUGGAGGCCUCUGCCAGGGCUGUUAACCUGGCCGAGGGGUUUCAGCUGGGGCAGGCAGAAGAUGAGAAGCUCCAGGUCACAGUGCGUGCAGCACCCAAAGGUCCAUCGUGGGGACAGGCCUCUGGUGGAGGCAGGAGAGCAGGAAACCCCAGGGCCCGAGGACGAGCUGCCUCAUGUUCUCCAUGAUGAGCUGCCAACACACCAAGAGUCAGGUCCUUACCAGCCUUUUCGAUAUAUAUGGUUAACAAGGGCUCGACACCCAAAGAGCAUCAGUAACCCCCAACCCCCUCUUAUAACUGUUGGCUACUGGGUAUAGGUCAGCUCCCCAAAGAAAGAUAACUUUCUGUUAACUGUUUUGUGUGUGUAAGCUAUAAUAAAUUUGCCUUUAUUUCACUCCCAACUUUACCUCCGCUAUCCAAAACUGAAUCAAACAGCCCAGUUGGCCUGUGAAAAAAUUGAUACACUCACAGUGCCUAGCAGGCCUGUGACACUGUUUUUAGGGCAAAGUCUGGUACAGGGAAUGAGCCCAUGGGGAUUUCCUCUGCUGAUGAGUCCCAGGGAGCCUCCACAUCACAGGAAUCUGCACCGGGACAAAGGCCUUGGUAUGAACCUUCACAUGGACUUUGGGGGGAGUCUCAGGCUUUGUGACACUCUGGGCCUAAGAGUGGGAA